CUCACCAAUGGACAAGAAUCUCUUUUUCGUGAAUUCUAUGUCAUUUCUUCACUUUAGGCCGAAGUCUCUCUCCACUGUAAUGAGCAAGUGCCAAAGCCAAAUUCUCAGCCAUUGGCAAAGCCCUUCUUUGCAAUGGGCAACAGCCUUACUCCAUGAGCUAAAAGGCCAAUAACCUUUUUUACCAUUCUCCUAUUUAUAGUAUUAAUUUCCUCGAUCCUAAUCUGAUUAGGAGUCUCACUUAAUUUAAGAUUAAUACUAACAUAAGAGUUACUUUAUAUAGGAAA
Molecule: unclassified non-coding RNA, 284 nt
Filed under: Hevea brasiliensis (rubber tree)
Lineage: Eukaryota; Viridiplantae; Streptophyta; Magnoliopsida; Malpighiales; Euphorbiaceae
Source: RNAcentral